RNAcentral lists this ribosomal RNA (274 nucleotides) under uncultured bacterium. Its description in RNAcentral is "partial 16S ribosomal RNA". It matches the Rfam family "Archaeal small subunit ribosomal RNA", at positions 473 to 747 of the family's 1478-position model. The record is from RNAcentral.
AAACCAGCACCUCAAGUGGUCAGGAGGAUUAUUGGGCCUAAAGCAUCCGUAGCCUGUUCUAUAAGUUUCCGGUUAAAUCCAUUAGCUCAACUAAUGGGCUGCCGAAAAUACUGUAGAACUAGGGAGUGGGAGAGGUAGACGGUAUUCGGUAGGAAGGGGUAAAAUCCUUUGAUCUAUUGAGGACCACCUGUGGCGAAGGCGGUCUACCAGAACACGUUCGACGGUGAGGGAUGAAAGCUGGGGGAGCAAACCGGAUUAGAAACCCGUGUAGUCC